This is a long non-coding RNA of Amphimedon queenslandica, 405 nucleotides long. RefSeq lists it as uncharacterized. The record is from RefSeq and is a predicted model, not a curated record. The transcript is spliced from 3 exons. Lineage: Eukaryota; Metazoa; Porifera; Demospongiae; Haplosclerida; Niphatidae.
CUAAGAGAUUUGUUGAAAUUGCUAAUGUAUCAGUAACUCCUAAUCCACUGAUUCGUGGGAAAAAGUAUCAUUUGCAAGGAAAUUUUCAUUUUAAAAGAACCAUACAAUGGGGUAUACUACAUAUAAAAAUGACAUAUAACUUCAAGAACUAUACUAAUAUUACUUUCAUCGAUGAAAAAUUUAAUUUUUGUGACUUCCUUGUUGAUUUAUUUAAGUUACAUUGUCCAAUAACACCAGGAAUAUAUCAAUUGAAUUAUACAUGUAAUGGUACUGAUACAUUACCAAAGCUCCUUUGGCCAGGUCAGUAUUAUGGCAAAGGUACUGCAUACAAUGAAAAAGGAGAGCAAAUGAUGUGUAUAAGUAAAGAAGUCACUGUCAAGUAAAACUGUUUAUUAAUGACUUGAA